UCGGGAAUUUUGGGCAAUGGGCGAAAGCCUGACCCAGCAACGCCGCGUGAAGGAUGAAGUCUUUCGGGAUGUAAACUUCGAAAGAAUGGGAAGAAUCAAUGACGGUACCAUUUAUAAGGUCCGGCUAACUACGUGCCAGCAGCCGCGGUAAUACGUAGGGACCAAGCGUUGUUCGGAUUUACUGGGCGUAAAGGGCGCGUAGGCGGCAAUUCAAGUCAGUUGUGAAAUCUCCGAGCUUAACUCGGAACGGUCAACUGAUACUGCUUUGCUAGAGUACAGAAGGGGCAAUCGGAAUUCUUGGUGUAGCGGUGAAAUGCGUAGAUAUCAAGAGGAACACCUGAGGUGAAGACGGGUUGCUGGGCUGAUACUGACGCUGAGGCGCGAAAGCUAGGGUAGCAAACGGGAUUAGGUACCCCGGUAGUCCUAGCCCUAAACGAUGAAUACUUGGUGUCUGGAGUUUUUAUUCUCUGGGUGCCGUCGCUAACGUUUUAAGUAUUCCGCCUGGGGAGUACGCACGCAAGUGUGAAACUCAAAGGAAUUGACGG
Molecule: ribosomal RNA, 545 nt
Filed under: uncultured bacterium
Lineage: Bacteria
Description: bacterial SSU rRNA
Rfam family: Bacterial small subunit ribosomal RNA
Source: RNAcentral